This is an RNA transcript of Ananas comosus (pineapple), 1677 nucleotides long. RefSeq lists it as uncharacterized. The transcript has 4 exons. The record is from RefSeq and is a predicted model, not a curated record. Lineage: Eukaryota; Viridiplantae; Streptophyta; Magnoliopsida; Poales; Bromeliaceae.
AAAAUUCCCUCCCCCAGGGCCAUAAACCGAUUCGGUCCGGUCUAUCAUGGCCCCCGGCCCAAUUUGGGUGCUCAGCACUCAACAGUCAACACUCGACUGCGCUUGCUCUUCCUCUCCUCCUCCGGCCCUCGUCGUCGUCGUCGUCGUCGUCUCCAAAUGCGGCGCCUCCUCCUCCUCCUCCUCCGCCUCCGCCGCUCCUUCUCCACCGCCGCCGCCACCACCUCCACCUCCACCUCCACCUCCCUCCAAUGGCGCCGCUCUCUCGAGCUCCAAACCCUGGCCUCCCAGGUCUCCUCCCUCCUCCUCCACCGUAGGCGCUUUCCCUCCCCCUCCCUCCUCCGCGUCCUCUCUAAGCUCCGAUCCCACCCCCUAAUCGCCCUCCGUUUCUUCCGAUUCGCCGUUUCCAACCUUGCCUUCGCCCCCGACCUCCGAUCCCACGCCGCGAUCCUACAAAUCCUCGUCGACGCCGACCUCCUCGGCCCUGCAAGGGUGAUCCUCGACCCGGCGAUCCGAUCGGAGCCCUCGGCAGCGCCGCUUCUCGAUUCAGUGCUCCGAUCCACCACCUAUGCUGCUGGUGCACAUUUUGUAUUUGAAGAGACGCAAUGAUCUUUGUAUAGCGGAAUUGUUAAGGCAACAACGCAUGACAGAGAAUUUGGCAAGUUUAGGAGCUGAAAUGAGUAGCUCAAGUCAUGGCAAUUGGAUUGGGUCUUGUUUAUGACGUCAUAAACAAGAAGGCCAUGGCGAAGUUAUAAUUUCUGGAUUUCACGAUGAGUGGACGGCUUGAUUGGGGGAUUGGAAAAUUCACUAUUUUUUACUACCAGAGGAGACGCUCUCUGUAUUGGAGGAUGCAGAGAGCUUGCUGACAUCGAAGGAGGCUUCCCGAGUGGGGUCGUCGAGCAGCAUGGAAUGCUGCAGCAGGUGGAUGGUGGCCAAGAUGGAGUCUCUUCUGUCAAGGGUGCACUUGUUGCACCGUGGGGUUUGACACCUGGGGCUUAGUGGUGGUGGUGGUGGUGGUCGGAGGGGAGGAGUUCUCAGAAUUGUUCUUUGACGGCGAAGUGGACUGCCUCAACCGCACGGGGCGUGGUGACGGAGGUGGCGGUGGUGACGGCAGGUCCAGGUGAUGAUGGCGGCACUGCAAGAGGCCGUGGAGGAGGAGGGCAUCGGGGAGGUGGAGGGGCGGCUGCGGUUGACGGAGGAUGAGGUGGUGCUGGUGAUCGGGCGGAUGCUGGGGAGGUGGUGGUGGUGGUGGUGGUGGUGAUGGUGAUGGGGUGGUAACGGCGAGGGCGGCGUUGUUGAGGACCGCACGGUGGCGAGCGGCGAGUCGUGAGGUCAAGGAGGAGGUGAUGGAGGUAGAAGAAGAACAGUAGGGGGAGUGGUUAGCAGUCCGAUGAGAAUGGAGUUAAAAAUAAGAGAAAAAAGUAGAUGUGUAAUUUUUCCUCAAAUUACUCUGUUCAUAAUUUCUUUUGUUGUAAAUUUUACAUUCCAGAACUCAUCAAAACAGUUAUUUUGUAAAAAUUACAGUGUUGUUUAGGAAACAGUACUUAACCCAAAACUCUGUUUUUAGUGGUUGCUAAACAGGCCCUAAGCCUAAUUUUUUGGUGAAUUUGUUUUGGCUAGGAAUUAACUAGUAAUCCCGAAUGCUGUUCUUGACAACAUCCUUGCAUUUGAUGAUCUGAA